UUGUAGACGAGCUAGCGGCCAUCCUGGCUAAGGCUAACCUGGUGGGGCACAUUGAGGGGGUGGUCCCGCAUCUCAUCCCGGGGGGGCACUACAAGAAAUGUGUUAACUAAUGACCUUCUUAUAGUGACCACGGAUAAAUUAGUCAUAACUCUAUGACCAUCUCGCAACAAAUAGUCAUAAGCCAUUCGGGACGGCCAAAACCUUAAAUCAUUACGACCAUUCUGGUCAAGAAGGUCAUAAUUUCCUUACACAAAAUGGUCAUACAGAAAAUGAUAUGCUGCAUGACCUUUGUUCUAGCCGACUACGACCAAUUUAAUUGGUCAUGGCUGCUAAUUGGUGGUGCUUAAAAAUGACCCACCUCAACAAUUUCGCCUACCUGUCAUGUUUAUGUGUCAAACGAUCGCAUAGUUUUUGUCCACCUUUUCAAUUUUGUGUCCGUCUCAUGCCCAUGUGUCAAUUAUCCAAGAUUCACUAAACUUUUUUUUUUACUUAAGUUACCUAUUUCGUUCCUUUUAUGAUCUUUAAUUUCUAUUUUGUAUUUUUUAUUUACUUUUCAUAGGGAAGAUACAACUUACAAAACCUAUCUGAAAACAGAGGCUGACCUAUGGAGCCAGGAGCCAGGAGCCAGAGGUUGUCCGAGCGAGAGCGACGGCGCGGCCAAGAAAAUCGGGAAACGAAAUUCAGAAUGACCGGUGCGCGCUGAACACCAAAUUUUCUUCAAGUUCCCACCUAAAGAACAGAGGCUGGCAUGUGGGCACGGCCACAAGCGGGAGAUCGAAGUUUUCAGAACCACGGGCGGUACCGCGGGAGCGGAGAGACCAAAAUUUUCCCAAGUCCCCACCGCAUCGCUCAAACCCUAGCGCAUAUUUCCUCCUCCGCCACCAUCACCCCUCUCUCUUCUCUCCCCCGCCGCCCCUCUCUCUUCUCUCCCAGCCUCCUCGACUGUGAAGACCACCCCGUCGCUCCAGGGCCUCGCGGCGGCGAGAUCCACCCCAUCCCUCUUUUCCUAGCCCAUCGAGUCCGCCCCCUGCCGCCGGAUGCGGCCUUCCCCGGCCACCCAGCCGCCAGACUCGGUCUAUCCUGGCGUCCCUGCCGCAGUGCCGCCGGAUCCGACCGCACCCGACCUGCUUGCUCUCCUGAGGAUCCUAGAACGGGAGGUGAGGUCCGCCUCCGAGGGCGAGGAUGGCUAUGCAACCGGUCGUAACAUCCAGCGGAUGGUGAAGGGCGUGGUUAAUGUCAAGCUCACCAAGCGCCGACGCGAUGGCGUGUCGCUACCGCGUUCACGGCGCUGGAUCACCCCCGCAUCGACCUCGUCCACCUCUCCGACGGCAAGGUCGGCGACUUACUCAUCUACACGUUCAACAGUAAGCUUGUCGCAGCAUCAUGUAUGUAGAUGUCUAUUUACUUGAUCCUGCUGUAGCGGUUUCAUUUUUAUUUGAUCGCCUAAGAUCUGGAAGGUAAUACUCUCUGCACUUAUAUCCCUCUCUUGGUAAUCAUCUGUACGCAGCAAUCUGUUCUUGUGUUAUUGUGAUGCUAAGAAGCGACGUGUAUUGCUGUGAUCCUCAUUUAAUUGAGUAUGCUGCAGUUGCACACUUGUCCUCAUUUAUCUGCACAUUCAGCAUACUAGCCUCACUUGUGCUGUUAACGUAAGAUAAAUAUUAUUCAGUAAACUGCAUCCAUUAGUUUGCCUUGCAAGGUUGCAAAAUAGAGUAAAUUUUGUUGUCUGUAUACGUGCGUUAAUAAUCUAUGCGUCUGUUAAUAAUCAAUAUCAGGAUACGGUAAUAUGUGGUCUGUAUAGGCUAGAUACGUGUGCACAAGUAUAUACAUUAGUAAUGCAUACAUAUCAAUUUACAUGUGCAACCUGACGGCAGCUGCCACAUGCAUGUAAACCUUCAUCUUAGAUUAUAUGUACUUAUCUCGGAACAUAUCAUCCGUGAAUGGUAUUCAUCCAUGUUGCUUAUUCUUAGUGGUUGAUGUGAAUUCUCUGAUGCUGCAUCAUAUAACUUGUUUAGUAGUACACUUCCAAAAAAAAAAAUUUCACUUCAUCGUUUAUCUUAUAUGUUCACAUGUUAUUUCUUUGUUGGCACAAAUCUGUAUGUGCUUUAAUUUACUUGGUUUGACCCGUAGCAGCAGCCUUUAUGCUUGCUUGCUCGGUUGUUCUCGCAGAUCUGAUGGAGCCAAUGUGCCAGGGUUUAUGGAUGUGAUCAGCAGGAUUUGGGACGUUAAUUGUCCAGGAAGGACCAGAAGGAGAAGCAGGCCUCCUUGGAUCUUCAUCGAAUGGCUGCUACACCUCCUUCCAGACCGAGGCGGCGUGCAAUGGUGUCUGCCGCUGGCAUUUGCUGGAGAGGAGCACAACGACGAUGUCACCGCAGAUCGCCUCUGUCUGCUUGUGUGAAGGUAUCCCACACCCCCUUCUCUCCCAAUCCCCAGAUCCUCUACAAUACGCCGAUGAUACUUUGGUUCUGAUCAGGCCAAUAGGCGCAGGGAUUGCGAACCUCAAGGUCAUCUUGUUGUGUUUUGAGAAUAUGUCAGGGCUGAAGAUCAACUUUGAUAAGAGCGAAGUGGUGGUGACAGGGGUCCCACUGGAACUUCAACACCAGGUGGCCCACAUGCUUAAUUGCAAGCGGGGGGAAUUCCCAAUCAAAUAUUUAGGCCUACCUAUUAGUGACAAAGCGCUAAGGGUAGCGGACUGGAACUUCCUGCCAGAAAAGAUUAGGCACAGGGUUGACCCAUGGCAGGGGUUGUUCUUGGCUUCGGCAGGCAGGUUGGAGUUGACCAACUCCUGCCUAUCCAGCCUUCCUCAGUUUGCCAUGAGUCUUUACAUGCUCUUCGACAUCACCCAUAAGGCCAUGGACAAACCGAGAGCGCGCUUCUUUUGGGAAGGAGUGGGCAACAAACGCAAGUAUCACAUGGUAGACUGAGCUACUGUAUGUAAACCUAAAGCGUUCGGAGGAUUGGGAAUCCUCAACACCAAACUCAUGAACAUCGCAUUGAUGCUCAAGUGGAUUUGGAAACUCUACCAAGACGCGAAGGGUCUAUGGGCGGACAUUAUCCGUGCAAAGUAUCUAGGGGAAGGGACCUCUUCGACGAUACGGUCCCAACCAGAAGCUCCCAAUUUUGGAACUCCAUUCAUAAGAUUAAAUGGUACUUCAAGUUGGGAGCCAAACACGUGGCGCGCAAUGGGAGGCGCACCAGGUUCUGGCUGGACUGGUGGACUGGGAGGGGCCCCUUUAUGGCCAGGUUCCCGCACCUGUUCAGUUGCUGCACGGAUCCGAUGAUUUCGGUGUUUGAUGCUAGACCACCGGAUGGGCACCCUGGGGAGUGGGGAGUCGAGUUUCGGCGGUAAUUUGGGAUGGUGGAAACGG
This is a non-coding RNA of Lolium perenne, 3365 nucleotides long. Lineage: Eukaryota; Viridiplantae; Streptophyta; Magnoliopsida; Poales; Poaceae. The record is from RefSeq and is a predicted model, not a curated record.